This 66-nucleotide transfer RNA is filed under the name uncultured Succinivibrio sp. It matches the Rfam family "tRNA". From Rfam's summary of the family: Transfer RNA (tRNA) molecules are approximately 80 nucleotides in length. Their secondary structure includes four short double-helical elements and three loops (D, anti-codon, and T loops). Further hydrogen bonds mediate the characteristic L-shaped molecular structure. tRNAs have two regions of fundamental functional importance: the anti-codon, which is responsible for specific mRNA codon recognition, and the 3' end, to which the tRNAs corresponding amino acid is attached (by aminoacyl-tRNA synthetases). tRNAs cope with the degeneracy of the genetic code in two manners: having more than one tRNA (with a specific anti-codon) for a particular amino acid; and 'wobble' base-pairing, i.e. permitting non-standard base-pairing at the 3rd anti-codon position. Lineage: Bacteria; Pseudomonadati; Pseudomonadota; Gammaproteobacteria; Aeromonadales; Succinivibrionaceae. The record is from RNAcentral.
GGGCAUAGUUUAAUGGUAGAACUGAAGCUUCCCAAGCUUUUAGCGCGGGUUCGAUUCCCGUUGCCC